CCCUUAGAUGUUCUGGACAGCACGCGCGCUACAAUGGUCUUCGCAAACGGAUGCAUUCUCGAAGGAGAAUGCCAAUCUUGGAAUCUAUGCCUUGGUCGGGACAGUUGCUUGCAAUUUUUCGACUCGAACCAGGAAUUCCUUGUAAUCGUGAUUCAUCACAUCACGAUGAAUACGUCCCUGCCCUUUGUACACACCGCCCGUCGCUCCUACCGAUCGAAGAGUUAGGUGAAUUGUUUUGAUCGAUAAGAUUUGACUAUGGUCAACUCUCGUUGUGAAAUUCUCUGAAUCUGACUGUUUAGAGGAAGGAAAAGUCGUAACA
This 319-nucleotide ribosomal RNA is filed under the name uncultured eukaryote. RNAcentral describes it as "partial 18S ribosomal RNA". It matches the Rfam family "Eukaryotic small subunit ribosomal RNA", at positions 1470 to 1796 of the family's 1831-position model. The record is from RNAcentral.